RNAcentral lists this transfer RNA (73 nucleotides) under bacterium. RNAcentral describes it as "tRNA-Thr". It matches the Rfam family "tRNA". From Rfam's summary of the family: Transfer RNA (tRNA) molecules are approximately 80 nucleotides in length. Their secondary structure includes four short double-helical elements and three loops (D, anti-codon, and T loops). Further hydrogen bonds mediate the characteristic L-shaped molecular structure. tRNAs have two regions of fundamental functional importance: the anti-codon, which is responsible for specific mRNA codon recognition, and the 3' end, to which the tRNAs corresponding amino acid is attached (by aminoacyl-tRNA synthetases). tRNAs cope with the degeneracy of the genetic code in two manners: having more than one tRNA (with a specific anti-codon) for a particular amino acid; and 'wobble' base-pairing, i.e. permitting non-standard base-pairing at the 3rd anti-codon position. The record is from RNAcentral.
GCCAGUGUAGCUCAGUUGGUAGAGCAAGCGUUUCGUAAUCGCUAGGUCGUCAGUUCAAUCCUGACCACUGGCU